Molecule: long non-coding RNA, 1114 nt
Organism: Carassius auratus (goldfish)
Lineage: Eukaryota; Metazoa; Chordata; Actinopteri; Cypriniformes; Cyprinidae
Exons: 5
Source: RefSeq, a predicted model, not a curated record
CAGCCUCACUAUAUGUUUUGGUAAUUCGUGUGUACUUGUCUUGGCUCUGGGGAUUGUUUAUCUGUUAAGUUCAGUUUAAGGUGAGUAAUAAAAUGUUAACGAAGGCCUAGGCGAUAAACAGCAUUUAUAUAAAAAGGCGAUAUGACUUCAUCAAUAACUGUGCUCACACCGCCACCGUCGAGAGCGUCAAAGUGGCCGGAAGUCAUUCAUUUUCAAUGUGAGCCGGCGUCGGGCAGCGACGAGUAGCGACUUGAUUGAAGCAGAGUUCACUCGCUUAACAUCUAAGGACCUCAUGAAGUCUUUUCUCUCAGGGUUGGAUCAGUAUGUACCCAGGUUCCUUCAGAUGUUUAGAGCCAAGUUGAGCAGCAUUUUCAGAACUGAAAAGCCUUCUAUGCAAGAUUGACCGUGAUACCCAAAAUGUGUCCAAAUAUCAGCUUUUAAGGCUUUGCACAGGCUCCUACUCUUCUUCUGCCUAUAAUUCCAUGUCAAUGAAAAGGGCCGUUGUUCUUCAAGGCCUUCCACAUUACCUCGGCGAGGAUCCAUCAGAUUUCUUCAAGUCAGCUGAGGAAACUGACAUUGAAGACGGUGUGAUGGUGGGAAUGGAUGUGGGCAUUCUCAUAAUGCCUGAUGAAGAUGAUGCCUUUGACUACUACGUGGUAGUGGAGGAACAAGUUGUCCUGAGUGAUGCCAAAGACCUCCCUCAUGCUGUGGCUCAACUAGUCGUACUGAUUUUUGCGCUUAACAUUGAUUAUCCCAAAAAACUACGCUACACAUUUGAGGUAAUUCAGAAGAUUUUAAUUGACCUUGGAGGUGAUCACUGUUUCGUGACGGUGCAUGGACUGAAAAAUAGAAUCUUUCGCAAAACUGUUUAGCAUUUUAACUGAAAGGUAUACGUUCUGUGCCUUUUUGUUUUUGGUCAUGAUUUAUUGGUGAAUUUCUGGUUGUUUUAAAACAAAGAAUGUUAAAUGAUUUUUUUCUUAAUGUGGUUCUUUAUGCAGUGACAAUUUAUGUAACUUAAAGGGUUAGUUCACCCAAAUAAAAAAUUUAUGUAAUUAAUAACUUACCCUCAUGUCGUUCCAAACCCGUGAGACCUCAGUUUAUCUUCGGGACACAG